Long non-coding RNA from Mytilus trossulus (common blue mussel), 569 nucleotides. RefSeq lists it as uncharacterized. The transcript is spliced from 4 exons. The record is from RefSeq and is a predicted model, not a curated record. Lineage: Eukaryota; Metazoa; Mollusca; Bivalvia; Mytilida; Mytilidae.
CGUUGUUUGUUUUCCGUUGUUUGUUUUUUGUCAUGUAUAUAUACCUUUGUAAUGCGUUAAACUAAUAACUAAAACAUUGAAAUCAUCUGCAAAAUAUAAAAGGUUUGCAAAGAACAUUGUCAAUAUGAAAGCAGCAAUCAUUGGUUUACUGAUCUGUUUCUGUGCAGCAUAUCUCUCAGUAACUGAGGCUAAUUAUGGCUGUCCUAUUCCUCAUUUGUGUCAACUUCAUUGCCUUAGAAGACGCUGUCUUAUUGGACGCUGUGGAGGAGGAGGAUGGAUAAAAAGGAAAUGCAAAUGCUAUAUCUGUAAGAAGUCAAAUCAAGACAAGGUCAUUGCGGAUUUCCGAUCUGACGAAGCCACUGAGGAAUUCCCAGCAGACGAAUCCAAUGAGGAAUUCCAAUCAGACGAAUUUACUGACGAAUUCCUAUUAGACGAAGUCAACUAAUUAUAUAUUAGUAAUAUGUUUGUCAACACCAAGUUACAACAAAAAGACACAUUAUAAACAAUUAUUAAGUAAAUAUCUGAGAAUAUAAUACAUAAAAUGUAUAAAAAAAGAAUGUUAUAAGCUA